Long non-coding RNA from Lagenorhynchus albirostris (white-beaked dolphin), 1722 nucleotides. RefSeq lists it as uncharacterized. The transcript has 4 exons. Lineage: Eukaryota; Metazoa; Chordata; Mammalia; Artiodactyla; Delphinidae. The record is from RefSeq and is a predicted model, not a curated record.
CUGCGCAGGCGCGGCUCCGGGCCGCCUCCCAGGGCGCACAGCGGCCUUGCUGCCGAGCCUUCCGUUCCCUGGGCCGCGCCGCUGCGCCCGCUGUGCGCCUCCCCGCAGCCCCGUCGCAGGAGCCCCGUCCGCUCACUCCUGUCCCCGGGGCCUCUACCACUUGGAGCCCGUGGAUGGCGCGAGGUUAUGGAGGCCGGGUGGCCCAGGCCGCAGGGUCCCCGCCCGGCCGGGCCCCGCGGGCAGCACCCACCCGUCAGGAAGUCGAAGAUGGCCAUGUCGAUGAUGUUGAGGAGGCGGCCGCUGCUGCUGUGCGGGUAGACCUGCUUCACCGUGUCGCAGUAAAGAGGGUUGACUUCCCACCUGAGGGGAGAACAGGGCCUGGGCUGCAGAAGCCCGGACGGCAAGGUGUCCGACCCGCAUCCAUGCCCCCCGGUCCUGCCCGGGCCGCCGGCAGCAGGCGCCCCCACCAGGACCUGGGCAAGGACCCGCGGGACCGGCAGACGCCCUGGGCGAGAAGGGGUGGGGCCCUUUCUCCGCGCGUUUCCGAGCAUCGCCUGGCUGGGCGCCGUACUGCCCGUGUGCCGCGAGGGCACCCGCUCCCUCUGCGGCCCCUCGCCCAGCCUCUCGGGCGCUUGCCCUCCGGUCUCCCGAGCCGCUCGCAGCCCCCCUGCCAGCCAUCCUCUGCCAUUUCUCUGCCACAUGGGCUCCUCCGCCUAGAACGCCCCCAGGUCCCUUUUCGUCUGAGGGGGGGGUCUUCCUCAGCCUUCACGAGUCCCUAAGGAUCUGUCACGUCCCCCAGAAAUUCUGGCCCGGUUACUCCUCUUCCCACCACGGUUGGGGUGGCUGGAUCGACGAGCCCAUUCAUUCAGUCACCUCGUAUUAACUGAGGACCUGCCCUGUGCCCGGGAGUGUGCCACGCCCUGGGGAACAACCGUGAGGUCCCGGCUUCACGGCGUGGACUCAGCAAACCCGGCCCCUCCCGCGGCCUCCCCGUGGGCAUCUCUGCGGGACAGCAGGUGGGCACUGCGUUCUCACAGCCUGGCUACCGUCUGCCGCCCCGCUGGACCGCAGAGCUUCUUGAAGGGACAGCCCAGGUACGGGCACUUGGCGAAGAAACACACGUUGCUGGCUAGAGGCGGAGAAGGAGAGCGGAUUUCCUUGGUGACAUUGACUAGCCUCCCUACGGUCGGUGGUACCCGUCGGAAGUCCAGAAUCCUGAAAGAGGGGGAGCCCAGUUCACAUCUGGGGGAUGAUCGCCCAUUAGAAACGGACCUGCUGCGAAUUCCCGGGCGGUCCAGUGGUUAGGACUCCGCGCUUCCACCGCAGAGGGCACAGGCCUUGUGGGGCUUCCCUGGUGGUGCAGUGGUGAAGAAUCCGCCUGCCAAUGCAGGGGACACCGGUUCGAACCCUGCUCUGGGAAGGUCCCACAUGCUGCGGAGGAACUAAGCCCGUGCACAACUUCUGAGCCUGCAUGCCUUAGAGCCCGUGAGCUGCAACUGCUGAGCCUGUGAGCCGCGACUACUGAGCCCGUGUGCCACAACUACUGAGCCUGCGCUCCAGAGCGCAUGAGCCACAACUACUGAAGCCCGCGCGCCUAGAGCCCGUGCUCCGCAACAAGAGAAGCCACCGCAUUGAGAGGCCCCCGCUCGCUGCAACUAGAGAAAGCCCGUGCACAGCAACAAAGACCCAACACAGCCAAAAAUAAAAUAAAUAAGUAACAAA